Dermacentor albipictus is the source of this 585-nucleotide non-coding RNA. The record is from RefSeq and is a predicted model, not a curated record. Lineage: Eukaryota; Metazoa; Arthropoda; Arachnida; Ixodida; Ixodidae.
CACGCCACCGAAGCGAGCAGCGAGGCUGGCUGAGCACAUGAAGUACGCCUGUUCCGCGACCCGUCUGUCUCACCCUCGCUUCCUCCUUAUUUAUAAUUUUUUUAUGUGGUCUGGUUUUUUAGCUCCCGGCGUAUUACGCUUCGUCUGGAUUUCGACACGGCAGCACUGCGCUAUUGGACUACAGCACGCUGAUGACGUUCGGUGGAGCUACGUACCGAAACAGCUGCUUUCCUGGUGCCACAGCGCGGGAUGAACGCACCGGCUUCGAACAUAGGCGGAACGUCAUGUAUUGGAACAAGUCAUGGCCGCCUGCUUCUGGUAGCUGGUGACUCGUACAGGACCGAACAAAUGUGAUUCCCUCGCGCUUUGAGGCGGGUUACUAGGCACUGGGGCCAGCAGCUUUAAUGUUUGCCGAGUGAUCUCGUGGUGUUGCUCCCGCAUUUACGACGCGUCAGAAGAGCUGUGCAAACAUGCAGCUGAAAGAGGGCAAAUGGCCAGCUUUUAGUUGUAUCUUCCCCAAAAUUGUGACACAGGACAGAAGGUUCAAAUUAUGUUUUUGUGCUUUUUGUACGGGGCCUGACUACU